CUGACAAUAACACGAGCUUCCGAAGUAUAAAAUCACAAAUCCUGUAGCAGGAAUGCUUUAUAGAAUGUACGAAAUGCUGCUAUAUAAUAUAAUAUUCACAUAUAGAACGAAAUAUAAACGAUAUAUAUAUAAAUAUUUACCUCGCUCGUAGUGUCAUCUGGGUUGUCGAUUCUUGUAUAAAAACGCUACUGGGUACACUUGUACUAACUCUAUCCUCUGAUAACAUUGUUAUCUCAUGGUAACAACAGUUAUCCCUCAUGUGACUUCACUGACUUUAGAAACUGACAAUGAUUUGUUCUGUCCUUCUGUCCUUUUAACUUACUUUAAAACGAAGACAUUGUUUUUGCGGCACGCUG
Molecule: non-coding RNA, 356 nt
Organism: Paramuricea clavata
Lineage: Eukaryota; Metazoa; Cnidaria; Anthozoa; Malacalcyonacea; Plexauridae
Source: the annotation of a GenBank genome assembly